Non-coding RNA from Oryzias latipes (Japanese medaka), 4081 nucleotides. The record is from RefSeq and is a predicted model, not a curated record. Lineage: Eukaryota; Metazoa; Chordata; Actinopteri; Beloniformes; Adrianichthyidae.
GGGCUUGUGCAGAUGCUUUAAUAAUUAACAAAAAGCUCAGCUAAGGAGUUCUGGGAGAGGAUUCUGCAGCUGCUUAUGCGUGCACAGAUCCCAGGUCAAGUUCUGACACAAGGCCACGCUGGAGCCCAGAAGAGCUCGAGUUGCUUCAGGGUCUCCAAAGGGUUGGAAGAAACUUUCUGUAAACGCGUCCAGCAGAGAAGGUGCUGCUUUAAUGAGGAUGUUUACUACAGACCCUUUAAAAGCUGGCAGAUAAACAGUUAAUGGAUUAUUAAGAUUCAUGGACGUCUAGUAACUAGAAAGAUUAUGGUACCGUGGCAACAUUCUCACCUUUAUAGUUUGAAAACUUAAACAACAAUGAAAGUAUGACUAAUUUCUUGAAAACUAUGGCAAAAAUUCCACCUAAUUAUACGAGAAACAAAUGUUGAAUUGAACCUUUUUAAAUCCUUUUUUCUUAGCAGGAAUAUUGUUUGCUGAAACUCCUUCUCUAAAUUGAAUACUAUAGAAUGUUUUUCUAGUCCUUUCACUCAAUGAUGGAUCUACAUGUGGUGCAUGAAAGAAAGCGUGAGGCUUGAGCUUUACAUCCACAGCCUGACCCCUCUGCACUGCUUUUUCUGUGAAGGAGCUCAUCAUUUAAGAAAACCAAACCACUAACCAGACGCCCACACAGCGAUCCAGACUGGUUCCUCGAAACUCCUACCUCGGAUCCUCCACAGAUAGUUAUGGAUGGAUUCACUCUGCAAAUGCUCAACACUGUUUGAGGAGGAGAGUACUUCUCCACAAAGAGGAUGUUUAUGUUUUCUGCAGGUUCAAACACAACCUUAAGCUAAAAAAAAGACAGAGCAGCCACGUUUUUAAGACUGCAGCAUCAGAAUGAAUACAUUAAAUCCCAAUCUCCUGUGAAGACCAGAGAAAACAUACAUUCCAUGACAGCAUUAGGUUUUAUUUAAGGCACACAUUUAUUUAUUUUUCUGCUUAUUUGGUUUGAAACUAGUGCUCAUCAAUUAUGCAUGAAAUAUUUGCAAACUCUCAGUUGUGAAUGUGCAGCAUAGUACCAGAGUACCAGAAUAUUCCCCCUAAAACUCAGAAGCUUUCACCCACCAUUGUGUCAAAUGUUCUGUUUCCCUCAAAGGCUGAGCUCUGCUUUGAUUGGCAGCAUGUGAAGAUGAAAAAAUGUAAUGGCUGCAUCCGAUAAAUACAAAAAACAGCCGCCUUGGGAAAUGAAACAAGUAUGAGAUCCAGAGACAAGAGAGGGCAGUGACAGCAGGGAGGAAGUGAGAGACGUAUGAGACUUUGGUGAGAAACCCCACAAAUCAGAAUCACGGUAGUGAGAAACCUUCAGCCAGAGCUGCAGAAAAGCCAACUUCACAGCCCAUUUAUUCAGCAGAAAAAUAAUAAAACUAUAAAUGAAUGCAUUCAGACUACAAAGUGCCUGUAUGUGAACAUUUUUGGAACCAACAGGUAUGUUUGGAACAUCUGAGUGUGUGGACAGACCCCGCCCCUUUUAGACUAACCUGACAGUAAUGAUUAUGAACUUCCAGAAACUUGCUGCUACAUGAUCCCCCCCCCCCUUCUAUAAUAAUCCUAUUUCCUUAACCCCCCCUCCUUUUUUCUCCCUCUCUUUUGUGCCCUUAACACUCCCCCCCAACAAAAAAAAAUUCACCUCCAACUUUUGGCAGGACCGUUGUGUGAAGCAACACCAUUGUGGCCUCCCCAGCUUAUGUCUACAUCACAGACAAAGAGAUUCUUUUUGGUCUUCUCUUGAUUUACAACGAUUUAAAUAAGAAAUACCCAGAAAUGCAAUUUUGAGCUUAAUUGUCUUCAUAAUUGUCCUCCAUCAUUAGAAAAAGGCUGCAAGAACAUGUUAAAAACACCAAAAACACCAUUUUUGUCACAGUGGGUCUUCAGCCGUUCAUGUUUUUGUUGUCCCUCCAAAUUCUUCCCAGUGACUGAGCUGCCAUUUUUCCAUUUCUCUUCAAUGAAAGCAGACAAAAAGGUUUAAUGAGUUUUGACAGACUGGCCUUUUUGCUUCUCUGCAAUUACAGCAAACAGCAUUUCAGCAUUCGCUCUGCAGGCAGAACGCUUCUCACAUCUCCAACAGGGCCGCUCAUUUUCCCAUGAUUCAUGUUUCACUCAGAAUGAAGUCUGGCUUUUUUACUUCACCCUGAGUCUCUGGUCUUCAACCAACAAGCAAAAAGAUCCAAGGUUACAAAAUCAAAGACAGGUCCUAUAGGUGCAAACACUUCAAAGAAUCACAUGCUUUUAUUUCCCGUGUCCACCUUUGAUCCGAACAUCCCGAAGAAAAAGGAAAAGAAAAAGUUACAAAGGAGGCAGGAAGCUGGGGGAGGCAAAUAAAUAAAAAUAUAAAAAAACAGGCAGAACACAGAACCCCACAGCCCAGAUGGAAAUGAUUCGGUAACAUCGUCCCAAAGGUUUACACAAACAAACAAGUGGUAACUUUCUCCAGCUGAAAGCAAGUGAACUCAAGAAACGAAAAAAAAAAAAAAAACAUUCAGAAUGAUGAACUGAAUAAGAGUUAAAGUAAUAGAUAAAUGUAUAUAAACCGGCAAAUGUGUCUUCUGUAGAGGACUUUCUAAACCCGCAAAUCUCCCAACCACUGCACUCUACUGAAAGAGCUCCGUUUGGUUUCUACAGAGGACUUUUUUUGCUUUUCAAAGACACCAAAUGUGAAGGGGGCGGGGCUCUGGGAAUUUUAGUUCUUGGUGGAUUUCAAACAAUUUUGACUGAACAGCUUUUUUUCCUCUGAGGUGGAACGGCUGACUGUAUCAGAGAAAUGGACAGACUCAUCCAUGGAAAAUGUUUACUUCCGGCUCCAACCAAAUGAAGUCAGUUUUGUCGCCAUUUUCCGCAAUAUGGACGCUGCCAUGUUGGAGCCAGACAUCGUCAGCAAGCAGCACCAUUUUUGCCAAUGGAAAAGCAGCCAUGCGCCGAUGUGCAACACUAUCGUAGAAAAAGAUCUCUGCUGAUCAGAAGCAUCACUUUUCAAACAGAAGAGGCCUUAGGGAAUGACUAAAGCGAUGUGUUUUGGGGACGGUGGUCGUGUCCGCCAACAGGAGGUCGUUCUAGAGUGGAGAAACGAGGAACCCUAAAUGUGAACCAGUUCUACUGCAACGGUAUUCCUGCAGAAUGCCAGGACUUAAAAAAAAAAACACCAGCAGCGCUAAACCCCUGUAACCAUGGCGAUACACACCUGACAAGAACGUGCACAGAGCAGCAGAUGGAGAUGAAGAAAUGUCCAACCGGGAGGAAACACCUGCCUGGAGGAGCAGAAAGGGCAGCAGUAAUGAGACACACUGUACAUUCAUGGAGAAUGUUAGCAGCAGUGAUGCUAUACUAAUUUUAAAUUCACCCUAGAGGACCCAAUGGGUUUCUUUUACUUCUUUUACUUUUAUUUUAUCAGCUGCUGUUAGAUGCAGCCUAGAAGGAUCGCAACACAACACAAAAUAACACACUACAAUUUGUCACAACACUAAAAAAAUUUACUCACAACAUGAAACAAUAACUCAGAAUACUUUAUCUCAAAACAAAACGAAAGUAUACCUGCAAUGAAAGUUUUCGUUUUUUAGUGUUCUGACAAAUUGUAGUGUGUUAUUUUGUGUUGUGUUGCAAAAUUUUAAGUGUUGUGUCACAGAAAAAACAACGUACAAUAAAAAAAAAAAGUUUAGUGAACUUUAAAAAGAUCCCAAGAAAAUUUUUUCUGGGUUCUUUAGGGUUAAAAUAUUAAUUUCAUUUUACUAAACGACUUAAAAUGUCCCUUAUUGAAUAUUUAGACUCUUAUUUUGAAGUUUCACAGUUCGCAGUGACAGAAAUGCCUGAUAAAGUUGUAAGGAUUAUUAACUGUUACACUGCAAGAUAAUUCUAAUUAAUUUGUCAGAUUAAAGGGUUUUAGAUUCAUAAAAGUUGAUCAUUAAUAGGCAUUUAAAGAAUUAUCUGCCCUUCGAGGUCAAACUUAAGAUUUAAUUCUAAACCUACUGAAUGAGUUCUGUGUAUAAAUGAAGGCAUGGGGUGUUUUUUUCUCCUCCUAUCUUGUAAUCUAUGGAAGCAUUUGUGUAGCAUAAUUAAA